Molecule: transfer RNA, 66 nt
Filed under: Aethus nigritus
Lineage: Eukaryota; Metazoa; Arthropoda; Insecta; Hemiptera; Cydnidae
Description: tRNA-Glu
Rfam family: tRNA
About the family: Transfer RNA (tRNA) molecules are approximately 80 nucleotides in length. Their secondary structure includes four short double-helical elements and three loops (D, anti-codon, and T loops).
Source: RNAcentral
AUUUAUAUAGUUUAAUUCUAAAACAUAUCAUUUUCAAUGAUAAAAUGAAAACAUUUUCUAUAAAUU